Molecule: ribosomal RNA, 496 nt
Filed under: uncultured bacterium
Lineage: Bacteria
Description: partial 16S ribosomal RNA
Rfam family: Bacterial small subunit ribosomal RNA
Source: RNAcentral
GAUGAACGCUGGCGGCGUGCCUAAUACAUGCAAGUAGAACGCUGAAGGAGGAGCUUGCUCUUUCCGGAUGAGUUGCGAACGGGUGAGUAACGCGUAGGUAACCUGCCUGGUAGCGGGGGAUAACUAUUGGAAACGAUAGCUAAUACCGCAUAACAGUAGAUAUUGCAUGAUAUUUGCUUGAAAGGGGCAAUUGCUCCACUACCAGAUGGACCUGCGUUGUAUUAGCUAGUUGGUGAGGUAACGGCUCACCAAGGCGACGAUACAUAGCCGACCUGAGAGGGUGAUCGGCCAAACUGGGACUGAGACACGGCCCAGAAUCCUACGGGAGGCAGCAGUAGGGAAUCUUCGGCAAUGGACGGAAGUCUGACCGAGCAACGCCGCGUGAGGGAAGAAGGUUUUCGGAUCGUAAAGCUCUGUUGUAAGAGAAGAACGAGUGUGAGAGUGGAAAGUUCACACUGUGACGGUAUCUUACCAGAAAGGGACGGCUAACUACGUG